This 395-nucleotide ribosomal RNA is filed under the name Phialophora verrucosa. RNAcentral's name for it is "partial small subunit ribosomal RNA". It matches the Rfam family "Eukaryotic small subunit ribosomal RNA", at positions 30 to 432 of the family's 1831-position model. Lineage: Eukaryota; Fungi; Ascomycota; Eurotiomycetes; Chaetothyriales; Herpotrichiellaceae. The record is from RNAcentral.
GCUUGUCUCAAAGAUUAAGCCAUGCAUGUCUUAGUGUAAAUAACUCUUAUGAAACUGCGAAUGGCUCAUUAAAUCAGUUAUCGUUUAUUUGAUGGUCCCUUACUACAUGGAUAACCGUGGUAAUUCUAGAGCUAAUACAUGCUAAAAACCCCGACUUCGGAAGGGGUGUAUUUAUUAGAUAAAAAACCAAUGCCCUCUGGGCUCCUUGGUGAUUCAUAAUAACUUAACGAAUCGCAUGGCCUUGCGCCGGCGAUGGUUCAUUCAAAUUUCUGCCCUAUCAAUUUUCGAUGGUAGAGUAGUGGUCUACCAUGAUCUUAACGGGUAACGGGGAAUUAGGGUUCUAUUCCGGAGAAGGAGCCUGAGAAACGGCUACUACAUCCAAGGAAGGCAGCAGG